AUGUCUUGCUGCAGCUACUGGCAUAUCCUGUCCAACCCAUCCCCCAAUAUGACUGCAUUACAAACAAGGCUAGAAAGACAACAACAAAAUUUAAGGACUGCACUGAAGAUGCGCAGGGAAAAAAAACACCCAUCACCAAACAAACAAAGAAAGGACACACACUUUCAGCUGUAGGAAGAGCAGCGUGCAGACCACGAAGGGCAUUCCUGGAAGGACCUCCAGGCAGAGAUGGCCGUGUUUCAGCACAUGCAAUUGCAGAACUCAUGGCUGAAACGACUCCGCCGCACAGAAGUGAAGGGAUUCCCUCCACCAGUGUGUCUCCAGCACAUGAGUCCCUGCUGUCACAUCAAGGUGGCCCAGGGCUGCAUUUGUUCACAGGAAGGGAGGCAUGAAGGGCUAGAAGAGGAAUAGCUGGACCCAGAGCUCACACAGGAGAAGGCUCUUGUCUGCAACAGCUUGGACAGGAGUAGCUUACAGAGCCAGACAAAAAUUCAACCUACCCAGAUAUGGAUGUGAAAGGAUGGGAUGGCUAGAAACUAGCUGGUGCCAAAUCCCAGUCACGGAUGAAUGAAAUGGAAAAUAAAACGAACAGAAGAGUCCAGUUCCUGAGCAGUCAGGAAUUUCUGAUCUAUGCACCUCUGGGACACAGUAUUUCCAUACCUCAGCCUUGCUUUUUGAGACUUCACAGACAUCUGCUGCAGUGAACAUCCCUGCCAGCAAACACAUGUUCCAAGGGUCUGUAUUUGCCUGCACCUCAUCGUAAAGCAAUGGAGAAGAGUCUUGUUCACAGCACCCUCUGCAUUGCCCAAUAACAGGCAGACAUAAGUUGUUAGAUUAAUGGGGUUUCCAUGUACUGGGCAGCAUUUAUCAGAACUAGGUGCAUAAAGAGAGGCUGCAAGACCUUUGUCUUGGCAUCUGAAAGGGAUAACUUGAUUUUCAGAAGUGCUCAGCACCACUGAUGAGAAUUACAGAUACUGGCUUGUGUAUGGGAACAGCUGAACUUAACAUCUAUUUAGGCUGUCAGAGCACUAAAAGGAACUGUGUAAAGAAACUCCAGAUCCAGGCUUAAGGAAAAAGUUUAUCAUAUUUCAUCCAAAAAAGAAAUAUUAAGAAAAGAACACAAGAGAGGGAGAGAACAAAGACACUGAGUUCAGAGCUCGAUUUUAAGACCGCUGAUUUACCAGUGUUCAAAUCAAGAGUGUGCUCUCCUUUUCUUCUUUCAAUUCACCCAAGCCUUGCAGAGGUCAGCAUGCCCUAAAACCAGGAUCCCAGAAAAGGCCUGGACAAACAUUCAUGGUGCUUUCCAAACUGCAUUAGCAAAGAUUAAAUACAAGCAAGAUUGAAAGGGAUAUAAAACUCCUGCUUAAGCCUUCUCUCUCAGCUCAAGGGCAAAGAAAUCUGCAUCCAGGUCAUCUCAUUUCAUAAUUGCUUCCCUCAGAGGGCUUUAACCACCACCUUUGAUGCAUCUGGUCUUUGUCACUCCUGGAGAGGGUGACACUCAGAGCAUCAAUCCCCUUAAAUCAGCCCAGUUGUACAUACAACAUUUCUCAUGAGCCACAUACCCACUAUUUUUCAGUCUGAUUACGGUCUGGGCAGAGAGGCAUCAAGCUCCUGCCCAUUUAUGCAUCACCCUUGCAGUGCUUUCUGCCUGUUUGAACAUGUUUCAUCAAGCCUACUUCUCUCCGUCACAGUUCCUGGUCGGGAGUUGGGGCAGCUGCAUUUGCCUCUCAGUGAAUUUUAGAUAACAUUUAUGAGGCUGCAUUAGUUUGGCCUUGGCAGCCCUCACCCCUCAGACCUCCUGCCAACACACCAGACCAGUUUCUGCUGACCCUGCAGAAGGCACUGGCAUGGUCAUUACAGGUGUCCCACCUUGCUGGCUUUCUGUUCCUUGCUGAGGGAGCAGAGAUUGUUCAGGAUAUGGCACUCAUGGUGGUUUCAGGCUAGUACAAGAAGUGAAGUUGCUGAAUCCAUGUCCAGCAGGAGCUGCCAAGGACAGAUAUGUCAGCCCAGCUGCCUCUGCUCUGCUGUCUGGAGGUGUGAACUGGGGCUGCGGGGCAACAUCUGCAAGGAGAAACUGUUCCCACAGUUCACCCCUGAAAGGUGCCUUUAGGCAGGCCCCCGACAAGAGCUGCUGACUCUCUUGAAGCACAGUUUCUCUCUCAUUUCAGCUUCAGUCAUGAGCUCCCCUCAAAAUGCCCUCCCAAAAAUCCCAGUGGUUUUUAGAUAAGCACAGUGAGUCAUAAAAGCCCGAAGAAAAUGCUUCUCCUUUCUCCAUGGAAGAGAAGCACUGAAGCAUCCUCUUUUGAAUUUCACUGAGGUUCUGGUUGGGGCCUUUUUUGGGACAAACUGUUUUCUUCUUGGAGCCUUUUUUUUUUUUUUCCAUACCUACAUGUCAGAGAGCAUUAAAUGAAGAGUAUCAAAGUCUUGUUCUCUCACCACCAUUUGCAGCUGAGCUUGACAGGAGAGCUAGGCUCCAUCUCAGUGGAAGGGGAUGACAUUGUCCAUGGCUGCUGUGACAAGGAACAGGUCAGUCUGAGCACAAGGAGCCAGUUUGAACCCAUGCCUCCUGAAGUAUUCACACUUAAGGUCAUAUGUUUUCUUCAAAAAAGUCUAAUAAGGAGGAGUUUUUCAAAGGAGCAGAUAAUUAAAUUGCAAAUGUCAGUUUGGAGUUUCUCAGACUCCCUCAGAGGACAGAUGCUGUCAAAAUAGACUGAAUUCUUGCAGGCGACCCAUGCUUGAGGAACAGCAGAAUGGGAUGGGUGCUCAAGCACGAGUCUUCAGGGAGCAAGAGCUAGCCAAUAUUCUGGACAGCAGGAGUGCACUCAUGCUAAAGGAAAACAUCAGUAGGAAGUGGCCUAACAACCUUUCACAGAGGGCUUUUAGCUGGGACAGAGAAGUCAAAGCGUCCUCAGGGAGACCCCUACAAGCUUGCUUAAUAAAACCCAGCCACCCUGUCCCCAGAAAGAAACAUUACUGGAAUUCUUCUAGGCUUAUUGGAAAAUGUGGAGGGACUGGCCAGUUAGGGUGUGGGUCUCCACAGCUAAGCCAUACCAUGAAGAAGCCUCGGGGGAGCCCCAGUUUUACACAUUUUGCAUGUGCACAGCUGCUUUUUCCAGAGCUGAGUGCUUUCCCCCUUGGCCACACCACUGCUGGAUGUCAGCUCCCUGCCAGCAGGCAACAGCCCCUGCACUGGCAGCACAGUGCUUCCUGGAGGUUUCAUUGAGGCUAGCGGGGAGAUGCUGCAGUGGCUGCAACAGAGCUGUUGGCACUACUCAAGGAAGCAGAAAAAAAGCCUUGCAGGAUGCCUGAAAAGCACAGUCUACUACAGAGAACUUCACAGUCGCACCCGCAGCAUUUCUAAUCCCAGGCUGUGCUUGCUCCAUUCUCAUUGCUUCAUCAGCAUCUCUGGUGACAAAAAAACCAAGUGCCUCUCAGCAGCCUGUCAUAUACCUCAGUACAGUGAGUUUAUGCUCUCCAGAGGAGUGUAAACUUGUACCUUCAUCUUGUCUUUUGCACCCCAAAGUCUCCCCAGAGAUUACAGAAAUACAGUAACUGGUAGUGGAGCUAGCUUCAAAAAAAAAAAAAAAAA
Long non-coding RNA from Lepidothrix coronata (blue-crowned manakin), 3589 nucleotides. RefSeq lists it as uncharacterized. The record is from RefSeq and is a predicted model, not a curated record. The transcript has 3 exons. NCBI's taxonomy places the organism in Eukaryota, Metazoa, Chordata, Aves, Passeriformes, Pipridae.